This 497-nucleotide ribosomal RNA is filed under the name uncultured bacterium. Its description in RNAcentral is "partial 16S ribosomal RNA". It matches the Rfam family "Bacterial small subunit ribosomal RNA", at positions 28 to 507 of the family's 1533-position model. The record is from RNAcentral.
GAUGAACGCUGGCGGCGUGCCUAAUACAUGCAAGUCGAGCGAACAGACGAGGAGCUUGCUCCUCUGACGUUAGCGGCGGACGGGUGAGUAACACGUGGAUAACCUACCUAUAAGACUGGGAUAACUUCGGGAAACCGGAGCUAAUACCGGAUAAUAUAUUGAACCGCAUGGUUCAAUAGUGAAAGACGGUUUUGCUGUCACUUAUAGAUGGAUCCGCGCCGCAUUAGCUAGUUGGUAAGGUAACGGCUUACCAAGGCAACGAUGCGUAGCCGACCUGAGAGGGUGAUCGGCCACACUGGAACUGAGACACAGUCCAGACUCCUACGGGAGGCAGCAGUAGGGAAUCUUCCGCAAUGGUCGGAAGCCUGACGGAGCAACGCCGCGUGAGUGAUGAAGGUCUUCGGAUCGUAAAACUCUGUUAUUAGGGAAGAACAAAUGUGUAAGUAACUAUGCACGUCUUGACGGUACCUAAUCAGAAAGCCACGGCUAACUACGUG